This 717-nucleotide ribosomal RNA is filed under the name uncultured fungus. Its description in RNAcentral is "SSU rRNA". It matches the Rfam family "Eukaryotic small subunit ribosomal RNA", at positions 828 to 1570 of the family's 1831-position model. Lineage: Eukaryota; Fungi. The record is from RNAcentral.
CGUGUGGUUCUAUUUUGUUGGUUAUGGGACCGCCGUAAUGAUUAAUAGGGACAGUCGGGGGCAUCAGUAUUCAAUUGUCAGAGGUGAAAUUCUUGGAUUUAUUGAAGACUAACUACUGCGAAAGCAUUUGCCAAGGAUGUUUUCAUUAAUCAGGAACGAAAGUUAGGGGAUCGAAGACGAUCAGAUACCGUCGUAGUCUUAACCAUAAACUAUGCCGACUAGGGAUCGGGCGAUGUUACUUUUUGACUCGCUCGGCACCUUACGAGAAAUCAAAGUUUGUGGGUUCCUGGGGGAGUAUGGUGGCAACGCUGAAACUUAAAGAAAUUGACGGAAGGGCACCACCAGGGGUGGAGCCUGCGGCUUAAUUUGACUCAACACGGGGAAACUCACCAGGCCCAGACACAAUGAGGAUUGACAGAUUGAGAGCUCUUUCUUGAUUUUGUGGGUGGUGGUGCAUGGCCGUUCUUAGUUGGUGGAGUGAUUUGUCUGCUUAAUUGCGAUAACGAACGAGACCUUAACCUGCUAAAUAGCCCGUGUUGCUUCUGCAGCACGCCGGCUUCUUAGAGGGACUAUCGGCUCAAGCCGAUGGAAGUUUGAGGCAAUAACAGGUCUGUGAUGCCCUUAGAUGCUCUGGGCCGCACGCGCGCGACACUGACAGGGCCAGCGAGUUCUCCCUUGUCCGAAAGGACCGGGUAAUCUUGUUAAACCCUGUCGUGC